CAGCAGCCGCGGUAAUACGAAGGGGGCUAGCGUUGUUCGGAUUUACUGGGCGUAAAGCGCACGUAGGCGGAUCGAUCAGUCAGGGGUGAAAUCCUGGAGCUCAACUCCAGAACUGCCUUUAAGACUGCCGAGCUAGCAGGUGAGAGAGGUAAGUGGAAUUCCGAGUGUAGAGGUGAAAUUCGUAGAUAUUCGGAGGAACACCAGUGGCGAAGGCGGCUUACUGGCUCAAACUGGACGCUGAGGUGCGAAAGCGUGGGGAGCAAACAGGAUUAGAUACCCCCGUAGUCCCUGUCUCUUAUAA
RNAcentral lists this ribosomal RNA (301 nucleotides) under uncultured bacterium. Its description in RNAcentral is "partial 16S ribosomal RNA". It matches the Rfam family "Bacterial small subunit ribosomal RNA", at positions 509 to 809 of the family's 1533-position model. The record is from RNAcentral.